RNAcentral lists this ribosomal RNA (490 nucleotides) under uncultured bacterium. RNAcentral describes it as "partial 16S ribosomal RNA". It matches the Rfam family "Bacterial small subunit ribosomal RNA", at positions 30 to 507 of the family's 1533-position model. The record is from RNAcentral.
AUUGAACGCUGGCGGCAGGCCUAACACAUGCAAGUCGAACGGUAACAGGAAGAAGCUUGCUGCUUUGCUGACGAGUGGCGGACGGGUGAGUAAUGUCUGGGAAACUGCCUGAUGGAGGGGGAUAACUACUGGAAACGGUAGCUAAUACCGCAUAACGUCGCAAGACCAAAGAGGGGGACCUUCGGGCCUCUUGCCAUCGGAUGUGCCCAGAUGGGAUUAGCUAGUAGGUGGGGUAACGGCUCACCUAGGCGACGAUCCCUAGCUGGUCUGAGAGGAUGACCAGCCACACUGGAACUGAGACACGGUCCAGACUCCUACGGGAGGCAGCAGUGGGGAAUAUUGCACAAUGGGCGCAAGCCUGAUGCAGCCAUGCCGCGUGUAUGAAGAAGGCCUUCGGGUUGUAAAGUACUUUCAGCGGGGAGGAAGGGAGUAAAGUUAAUACCUUUGCUCAUUGACGUUACCCGCAGAAGAAGCACCGGCUAACUCCGUG